CCCAGUCUCAGGUCCUCCGCUCCCGGCCCCAGCCGCCCGUUCCCUAACCCUGAGCGAGACUCAAGCGCUGCCGGGAGGCGAGGCCGUCUCAGCGAGCAGACGGCCACCCCACCUCUUCCGGGGACUCGCAGGCCCGCUCCCUGGCCGUGUCAGAGCCUGGCGGCGCCUGCCGGACCCUGCCCGAGGGGAGGCAGCGGCCCUGGGGCCUCCCGGACGGGACCCUGCACCCCCGGUCCUUCCACCGCCCCCACCCUGCUCUCCAGAAACCCCCGUCCUCAAGAGCACCCCAGUGGAGUUACCGGCCCACUCAAAAGAUUAUGGGACUUGAAAACAAACUUGGAAAACAUCCCAUAACAUAGUGUCCUUAAAUACCACUUCUACUUCUGCCUCAGAUCUGCAGAAUGCUACCAUAUGACCCAGCAAUUCCACCCAAGAGAAGUGAAAACAGGUCCACACAAAAACUUGUACAUGAAUGUUCAUAGCAUCAUUAGUCAUAAUAGCCUCUGCUGGGAGCCAAGAUCAACAGUAAUUAAUAUAAAUUCGAGAAGUCCGGUCAGAAGGCUGAAUGGGGCUUUUGAUAUUCAGAAGGCUGAACGUCUGCAUUGUUGUUACCUGCUGCUGACUCAAUAGCCGAAGGGAACCCCCCAAAACCUGGUGAUCUCUUUACUGUUUAGUAAACAUCACCUUUGAUAUGUCUAUUUGCAUUCCUAAAAGGCAAUUGUGUAUUCUAGUAAAUAAAAGGCAGAUGGGAACGGAGACUCAGUGGAACUUGGUCCCUUGUACCAAGCUCACAACUGGCUUCCCCCAUAAUUUCUAAA
Eptesicus fuscus (big brown bat) is the source of this 818-nucleotide long non-coding RNA. RefSeq lists it as uncharacterized. The transcript has 3 exons. The record is from RefSeq and is a predicted model, not a curated record. NCBI's taxonomy places the organism in Eukaryota, Metazoa, Chordata, Mammalia, Chiroptera, Vespertilionidae.